This is a long non-coding RNA of Leopardus geoffroyi (Geoffroy's cat), 267 nucleotides long. RefSeq lists it as uncharacterized. The record is from RefSeq and is a predicted model, not a curated record. The transcript is spliced from 3 exons. Lineage: Eukaryota; Metazoa; Chordata; Mammalia; Carnivora; Felidae.
AAGAUUUGGAAUUAGUCAUUGGUUUCAAUCGUAAAUGACUGUGCACCUUAGACAAGUUAUUUGACUUGUCUGAGCCUUGGUUUCUUCAUCCGGAAAUCAACAUCUGGUAGAAAAGGAUAAAAGUAGAAUACAAGUCAGAUAUCUUGAAGACACUAAGGAAACUCUGAAAGACAGAAGACAGUAGGCCAAUAUAUUCAUAGUGCUAAAAAUAAAAAAUAAAAACCCUUGUCAACCAAGAAUCCUAUAUCCAGAAAAGCUGUCCUUCAA